Daphnia pulicaria is the source of this 1128-nucleotide long non-coding RNA. RefSeq lists it as uncharacterized. The record is from RefSeq and is a predicted model, not a curated record. The transcript has 7 exons. NCBI's taxonomy places the organism in Eukaryota, Metazoa, Arthropoda, Branchiopoda, Diplostraca, Daphniidae.
AUUAUUAUUUCUUGAUUGACAGAAAUGGAACCCAGAAGAACUAGAAGCUCUCUUCUUUUUUCAUCUUUAAAACCUAUUAGAAAUGCAAGGAUGGUCAAGUCUACACGUGUGCCUUCUCAUGAGUUGGCCAAGCUGAAGGCCUCAAAACCAAUGCUACAUUAGAUGAAUUUGUGAGUGAUUGAUUGUGAUGCCACUGACGGCAUUAUCACCCAUUAUCACAUCAUGUUUGCUGUUCUGUUUACCCUUUUCCCAGUUUAUAUAGGGGAAUAAAAAUGUGCCAUCAGUUAAGUCAAUGGAUGGCGAUGCCGCUACUGGUCUUUUACGAUGUCUUGAAAUCAGUUUUGAAUAAUAGUUGGAAUCUGGGGAAUCCUCACUCAUUAUCGAAGUAACUUUGCAGUCAACAUAUGUCGGCCAGUUUGUUCAGACAGGAUGUCCUUCACGCUUGAAGGUCGCGGGAAACAUUACGUGUAAAACUGUCAAUGCGGUGGUGUAGAGGUUGAUCGAGAACUGGACGUGUUGCAUCAUCAUCAAGUAAACCCACCCCCAGAAACGUCACCUGCAGAAAGAAAGGCCAGUUUGCAUUUCAAUCGAAGGUCAUGGAGAUCUUUACGUAAAACGUAUCAUGUUAUUCAUGUAGAGGUUGGGUGAGAACGGGACGUUUUGCAUCAUUAUCAAAAAGGUAAAAUAACCGCAAGGCUUAAGAGGAGGGGUGAGAAAAAGUCGUAUGAAAGGCGAGAGAAAAGUCGACAUCGAUCAGUCGAGCGGGUACCUCCGACACGGUAACAGCUGCUCUAUUUGCCAUCAGCUGCAUUCUUCAUCGUAUAUCAGUUCUCAAUCAUGGUCGUACAAAAGGGCAAGGAAAAGGCGAAAUAAUUCAGCAGCCGAGUGAGCAUCUCCGACACGGUAACAGCAACUGCAGUGCCCCAUUUGUCACCAACUGCAUUCUUCGUCGAGUUGCUAGUUUAAAUCAUGGUUAACUAUGGCGUCAUGCUGCUGUUGGGUGAUGCAUCGUUGAUGGCUGGUUCAGCCACUGCCCACUGGUGUGCCGACGUCUCCUGGUAAGGUGGAUAACAAAUUGCAACGCCGCCACCUUGCUACACAACAUGCGACACGACCAGUUGCUACACC